Long non-coding RNA from Felis catus (domestic cat), 2862 nucleotides. RefSeq lists it as uncharacterized. The record is from RefSeq and is a predicted model, not a curated record. NCBI's taxonomy places the organism in Eukaryota, Metazoa, Chordata, Mammalia, Carnivora, Felidae. The transcript has 3 exons.
AAAAAAAAAAAAAAGGAUUGCUGUUCCCAGAUUCUGGUAUUAUGGCAGGUUACAAUGACCACGGUCAUGAACCUCCAUUAACUGGUAUUCCGGUGGUUUCCAUUCAACAAAUAUCUUCCACGGCUCCAGCCACGGUUCUAAGAUUUAAAAGCACUUGGCAAGUCUUUUUCGAAACGUCUACUCAGGCCAGGAGUCUGAGGUUUUGCACAAAGAGUCUACAGAUGUUUGGAUCCCAGAAAACAGGCUAUCGGGGUAUGUUGAGCCACCCAGUGUCAAUCUUAGACGACAUUUCCUUUCGAAGAAGUAAACAGGGAACCUGAAGAAUUCUCCUUGAAGGUCCUGGUGGACCAUGAAAAAAGAUGGACGAGGGCUUGGACGCUUAUGGGAGGCGGAACCUGGCAACCGAGUUUAUGGAAGAUUCUGGGAAAGCGUUGCCCAUUUACUGUGCCAGCAGCAAACCUAAAAUAAGCAGUCUCACUCACGCAGGGAACUUUGGAGAAUUAAAGCUUGCGCCAGUCUUUGGAAGGGGGACAUACCCUCACUGGCUCCAACAGGACCUUGACCGAAAACGGUGCCCUCCCGGCGUUCUUGUUCCUUAUUUGCCUGUUUAUUUAAUCAAAUGACGCUGGCUGUCCUAUAUCUGCAGAACAUGGUUUCUAAAAGGAAACCAUUGGAGCUCAUUCCAUUUGCAUCAGUGGAAGAAGGGUUCUUUCCCUUAAAAUUGACUUCCCUGUGGCCUUUAAAAUGACUCCAAGGGUGGCUUUUGUCUCCCGGCCUCAGAAGGAAGUAGGAGAGUAGAAGACGUGUCUUCUCCCUGAACGCAGCCCACGCAGAAGGAUCUGUCCACGUGGGUUGUGAAACCAGAAAUGGUCGUGCGCCAUGAAAAGCCUUUUCUUUCUCUUCCUUUGAAGACGUAACGUGAAAACUGCAAGGAUGCAGGGAAUGCGAGCACAGUUUGUGUCCAAGAAAGAAUUUUUAGGAGAGAUGAGUCUAGACACCAAGAAACAGUGGGUCACACGCAGCUGGGACCCGGUCCUCAAGGUCCAAGGAGGCCCGUGACCUAUGCUCCCGUCCCAGGGCGGCGAGGAGGAAGACCUUUCACCUCUCGAGCUGCCAGUCCACACCUGAGAGAGGAAGACAGAUUGAGCUGAGGUCUCCUGGGGGCUCCUUUGUGUCCUCACCUUGUGGUUCUAGAACAAUGGAAUGUCAGGAGGCCAGGGAGACUGCCUUUCUCCCCUGUGUGUGCCAGAAACCGGGGAAAACCUUCCUCAUUUCCACCCCGCUGGAUCGUCCCGGGGACUCUGGAUGCCUCUCCUCGAUCGUCCGGGGCCAGUACACCCUCCCUGGACGGUGGGGCUCUGAGCCACCAGCCACUGACUGCUCUGACUCCCCUCUAGGGUCUUCAGCACCUUCCUAGAGUCUCUGUCCACGGAGGAAAGAACCAACAUCAGUCCAUACAGGCAAUGAGGACGGGGAAUGAGUGAACGCGUAUUUUACAAUCACCUGUUACAUACCAGUCACUUACUCCUCCCAGCAACCCGACGGAGGCCAGACAACCAUUCACUCACCUGCCAACUAUUUCAGAGCCCACUUGUUAUGUGGUGGUGCCGCGAGGCCUCAUUCUCCAGCAGGGACAAAACAGAACGGAGCCCUGCCCCCCAGGGAGGUGACUCUGAGAUUUGGUUGUACCACCUUCAAAGACCAAAUGACCAGCGUCGGCUCCUCUGUCUUCGUUCCAUAAAACCGAAAGCACCGAGUGCCAUUUAUUUCUUCGCCAGUGGAUUCUACGGAAUCAGCACGUGUUCAUACACACCUUCCUGGCCUCGGCCGCUGAAGCAGCAGGUCGUUAGUGAGCAGCUAACACAAGAGGCCAGAGCCCAGGUCUUCACCAUACCUCCGAAGGUGCCACCGAAACGCGACACGGAUUCCAGCGGGAACCCUGUGCUGAUCGCCGUGGGAAUGACAACCAUGUCACUUCUUUCAGUCCGCUGGUGGCCGGCCACGGCACAUCUGCGACUCAGGUGAUGCACAGACGGUAAAGAGUGUCGUUGUGUGGCUUCCUUGUAGCCCGCUGAGAAACCCACGUGACAUCUGACAAAAACGGAAAGAGGGAUCGGACCCCCCAAAAUGGAAGUGCAGCCAAGGAAAUCAUUGGUAAUGUUCCAGGUGAAAUUCAAAUCAGACGUCCAUGGAGCCAUAGAAGAAAUAGUUGAUUAUAUGGGCACGUUGAUGCUGCUGCUGUUCUAGAUGCUGCUAGACGCACAGCCAGAGAGUGGAGGAAGGCCUUCUAUUGACAGAAUGAGGAACGCGGUUCUGAUAUAAAGGGCGACAACGUCCCAGAGGGAGCGACACCAGCAAAAAUCUCCUUAAAAGAACUCUCACAGAUGCUUCACAACGUGGAAAACACAGAGGAAAUCAAAGCUGGUCCAUGCUUAGAACGGAGCGUGGAAAUUCGCCAGGGCACGUGGAAGGCACUCGCUCGGUGUGACGAGUUAUGUGACAGGCGCAGGGCAGGGCUGUUCAGGCUCCUCUCGAUGUAGGUGCUUCACAAAGAAGUAGAACGGUCUGAUCCUUGAGCUUUCUGAUGUGCGUGUUACAGUGCGUGAGACACAUGUCGGUUUUAUAUUUUGACCUUGCUCUUUUCACGUUGCUCUGUAUACACUCAGCACUGGCACUGACACAGCUUUGAAUGUUUGACAAGACCUAGUCAAGAUCUCUGGACAAUCGUAAGUCCUCCAUUGAUUCUUAAGACUGCUUUGCACAGGGGCGCCUGGGUGGCUCAGUCAGUCAAGUGUCCGACUCUUGACUUCAACUCAGGUCACGAUGUCAUGGUUCGUGAGUUCGAGCCCCGCGUCGGGCUCU